CAUAGCGACUAUCGUGGCAUAUCAAUAAGCGGAGGAAAAGAAACUAACAAGGAUUCCCUUAGUAACGGCGAGUGAAGCGGGAAGAGCUCAAAUUUGAAAUCUUCAAGGUUCUACCUUGACGAAUUGUAGUUUAUAGAAGUGUUUUCUGUUAGUGGAGUUUGGUAAAAGUUCUUUGGAAUAGGACAUCAUAGAGGGUGAGAAUCCCGUAUUUGGUCAUUCCUUCUAGCGUUGUGAUACACUUUCAACGAGUCGGAUUGUUUGGGAAUGCAGUCCAAAAUGGGUGGUAAAUUUCAUCUAAAGCUAAAUAUUGGCGAGAGACCGAUAGCGAACAAGUAGCCGUGAGGGAAAGAUGAAAAGAACUUUGAAAAGAGAGUUAAACAGUACGUGAAAUUGUCAAAAGGGAAGCGUUUGACACCAGUGUUGUUUUUCCGAAAAUCAAUUACGAAUGUUUUAUUUUUGAGGAGUUAUGACUUCAUCGGCUUGCUUCUCUCUUUACGAAACUUUCUUAAUGCACUUUUCGGUUAACAAGUCAACAUCAAUUUCUUUUGUUGUAAAAGGGUAUGAGGAAGGUGGCUUUCUUUUCGGAGAAAGUGUUUAUAGCCUUGUAGCCUCUGCAAUCGGAGAGAUUGAGGUCUGCAGCGUAGAUCCUUCGGGGUUAGAUACAGUUUGUGCUAAGUUAUAGCUUUUCAUAGACAACUUGUUGACUAUGUUAGUCUUGUAGCUUACUCGCUGAUGCUAUUUUACCUACGCUUAGGAUGUUGACGAGACUGUCGAUCUC
Molecule: ribosomal RNA, 778 nt
Filed under: uncultured Neocallimastigales
Lineage: Eukaryota; Fungi; Neocallimastigomycota; Neocallimastigomycetes; Neocallimastigales
Description: partial large subunit ribosomal RNA
Rfam family: Eukaryotic large subunit ribosomal RNA
Source: RNAcentral